AGGCGUAGUGGCGGGCGCCUGUGAUCCCAACUACUCAGGAGGCUAAGGCAGGAGAAUCACUUGAACUUGGGAGGUGCAGGUUGCGGUGAGC
This 91-nucleotide microRNA precursor is filed under the name Cebus imitator (Panamanian white-faced capuchin). Its description in RNAcentral is "miRNA (ENSCCAG00000031952.1)". Lineage: Eukaryota; Metazoa; Chordata; Mammalia; Primates; Cebidae. The record is from RNAcentral.